This 443-nucleotide ribosomal RNA is filed under the name uncultured bacterium. Its description in RNAcentral is "partial 16S ribosomal RNA". It matches the Rfam family "Bacterial small subunit ribosomal RNA", at positions 338 to 795 of the family's 1533-position model. The record is from RNAcentral.
CCUACGGGGGGCAGCAGUGGGGGAUAUUGGACAAUGGGGGGAACCCUGAUCCAGCGACGCCGCGUGAGUGAAGAAGUAUUUCGGUAUGUAAAGCUCUGUCAGCAGGGAAGAAAGAAAUGACGGUACCUGACCAAGAAGCCCCGGCUAACUACGUGCCAGCAGCCGCGGUAAUACGUAGGGGGCAAGCGUUAUCCGGAAUUACUGGGUGUAAAGGGGGCGUAGGCGGUUAAGUAAGUCUGGAGUGAAAGGCUGGGGCCCAACCCCGGGACUGCUCUGGAAACUAUUCAACUUGAGUGCAGGAGAGGUAAGCGGAAUGCCUGGUGUAGCGGUGAAAUGCGUAGAUAUUAGGAGGAACACCAGUGGCGAAGGCGGCUUACUGGACUGUAACUGACGUUGAGGCUCGAAAGCGUGGGGAGCAAACAGGAUUAGAUACCCGUGUAGUC